GUAUAAAAUAAAUGACACUGAGUAUUAUUUUUGGGGAAAAGAAUGACACUGAAAGCUUUUUCUUUAUUACCUGCAGAGGAGAAGAAAGUAAAGAGCACUAAAGUGGAAGCAAAACUUAAAAAGGAAGUGAAGGAUGGAAAAGGAGAAACAAAGGCGGCCGAGAAAGUCAAGCAGGCAGAGAUUAAACCAACAGAAAGCUCUUCAGACUGUAACUAAAUCGGACAAGAAAGAUCAAUAUGCGUUCUGUCGCUAUGUGAUUGACAUGUUUGCGCAAGGGGAUUUUUAUCCAGGACAUAAGGAAUUUGUACCACCUCGUCUUCUUCUAGAACACAGUCCAAGAAAGAAACCAGCAGCUGUUGACGAAGAAAAGUCUAUUGUGGUACCCAGAGAAGUGAAAAGUAAGUUGUUUUUUAUUAUAUUUCCCUUGUCUUCAUGUUAAUUUAUGCAAAGGAUAGGAGUAUAUUGUC
Molecule: long non-coding RNA, 467 nt
Filed under: Manacus vitellinus (golden-collared manakin)
Lineage: Eukaryota; Metazoa; Chordata; Aves; Passeriformes; Pipridae
Description: lncRNA (ENSMVIG00005017812.1)
Source: RNAcentral